RNAcentral lists this unclassified non-coding RNA (218 nucleotides) under Hevea brasiliensis (rubber tree). The record is from RNAcentral. Lineage: Eukaryota; Viridiplantae; Streptophyta; Magnoliopsida; Malpighiales; Euphorbiaceae.
AAGCAUCGUCACUGUAUUUGUGCUCCAACAUGCUAUUUCACAUUCGCGUUCACUCAAAUACAGCACAAGUUUGACAAGGAGGGAAGGAGUUGCGUUUUACGUUGUGAUGAAGUGGUGUAAGCUGUGCUGCUACCAGCAAUUGGGUCUUGAAUUUAAGCUCUAAAUGGCAUGUUGAUUGUAUUGAAAAUCAUUUGAUAUUGUAUAGUUAAUAUGAGGUG